UUACAUGGUCACUGAUCUUGGCAAUGAAGGAGCAUUACUGAUGGAGUUUGAAACUCCUGAAGAAGCUGCUGCUGUCAUGGCACAUCUCAGGCGGCAUCGGAAGGAUAAAAAUAAUCAUCUGCCACCUUUUAAUGCUGGAUCAUCUAAUGUUCCCUUGCCUCAACUGGAUGGUGGAAGAUCAAUGCCAGCCCCAAUCCAUGCUGAAAUCAGAACCAAUAAUUCUGGAAGCAUGUGCAAGAUUGAGUCUCCUUGUGCUCAAACUGCAAUCGGGAGCCCUGCUGACAGCUGUAGGACAAGGAUGUCUCACUUAUCUUCCUUAGUUGCAUCGUUAUGUGCAAAGUACAACAUUAAAAAAAACCCAAAUUAUUUUGACAAUUAUACAUACGGAUCCAGCAAUACUGCUAUGGCAAGGGAUGUGGACCAAGUGCCAUCAAGC
Molecule: unclassified non-coding RNA, 436 nt
Filed under: Hevea brasiliensis (rubber tree)
Lineage: Eukaryota; Viridiplantae; Streptophyta; Magnoliopsida; Malpighiales; Euphorbiaceae
Source: RNAcentral